Molecule: long non-coding RNA, 2161 nt
Filed under: Nicotiana tabacum (common tobacco)
Lineage: Eukaryota; Viridiplantae; Streptophyta; Magnoliopsida; Solanales; Solanaceae
Description: long non-coding RNA (NTAB_LNC006153)
Source: RNAcentral
UAACAAUUUGGCAUAGGAAAGAGAUAAUAUAAGAAAAAUGGAAGAAUAUAGGGAAAGCACGUAAAUUGGCGGUACAUAAGUACUCGUCACCUCACAUAUACAACGCUCACAUGAAUUUCACAUAGCAAAUAAUUUGAGGUUCCUAAUUCCCUCAAGUCAGGGUUAGACAUAACACUUACCUCGCUCUGAAGGCCACUUAAUACUCAAUCACAGCUUUUUCUCUAGAAUCCACCUCCGAACCACUCGUAUCUACUCAAAAACGACUCAAAAAUAUCAAAUAUUGCUAAAGGAAUCAAUUAUAUUGCAUAAAUUAUAUUUCCCAAAUUUUUAUUCAAAAAGUCAAAAAUUGACCCCGGGCCCGCUUGGUCAAAACCCGAGGUUCGGACCAAAAUCUAUUUACACAUUCAUCCCCGAGCCCGGAUAUAUAAUUAAUUUUGGAAUCCGAUCUCAAAUUGAGGUCUAAAUCUCCAAAUUUCUGAAAUUCCUAGUUUCUACCCAAACCCUUAAUUCUACCAUGAAAACUCUAAAUUUUAGGUUGAAAAUUCAUGAAAUGUAAUGGGUAAUUGAAAAAAAAUGGUUUAGAAUCACUUACCGACACUUUGGGAAAGAACAUAUCUCUUGAAAAUCGCCUCUAGCCCGUUUGGUUCUUGAAAAUGUGAAAUAAUGGCUAAAUCCCGUUUUUGAUUCUGUUUUAAGUGCUGGGCGACAAUGUUCAUCGUGAACGCAUGAACACUGUCGUGUUCGUGAAGAGCAGCCUCCUAAGGACUUACGCGAUCGCGGGAGGCUUUACGCAUUCGCGGGAGAUUUUCAGCCCGCCUUACCUUCGCAUUCGCAUAGAGUUUCCCAGGUCCCCUGCCCAGCCUAGCUAAAGCUAUGCGUUCGCGUUCGACGGGUCGUGUUCGUGUAGAGCAACUCCCCCCAAUGCUCCGCGUUCGUGACCAUCGUCUCGCGUUCGUAUAGAGUAAAAUCCUCCCCAGCCCAGGUUCCCUUUCGUGAUCGCGAGAGUGACUACGCGAUCGCGAAGCACAACAUAUCAGAUACCAGAUACAGCAUAGACACACCAGAUUUUCUAAGUCUAAAAUAUCCUGUAGCCUAUCCGAAACUCACCAGAUCCCUCGGGGCUCCAAACCAAACAUGAACUCAAGUCUAAAAACAUCAUACAAACUUGCUCGCUCGAUCAAAUCGCCAAAAUAAUACCUAAAACUACGAAUUUAGCACCAAAUCGAAUGAAAUUUUCAAGAAAGCUUUAAAAUUCCUAUUUCCACAACCGGACGUCUGAAUCACGUCAAAUCAACUUCGUUUCGCACCAAAUUUUACAGAUAAGUCAUAAAUAUUACAUUGGACCUAUACCGGGCUCCGAAAUCAAAAUACGGACCCGGUAUCAAUAAGGCCAAACAUCAACCAAUUCAUAAAAAAUAAUUGAUUUUCAGACUUUAAAAUUUUCAUCAAAACUUCAUAACUCGGGCUAAGGACCUCGAAAUUCGAUUACGGGCAUACGUCCAGGUCCCAUAAUUCGAUACGGACCCACCGGGACCGUCAAAAUAUGGAUCCGGCCCCGUUUACCAAAACUAUUGACCGAAAUCAACUAAAAUCAACUUUUAAGGCAAACAUUCUUAUUUUCAUCAAUUUUCAACAUAAAAGUUUUUCGGAAACACGCUCGGACUGUGCACGCAAAUCAAGAAGGGUAAAAAUAAAAUUUUUAAGGUUUUAUAGUGCAGAUUCGAGUUAUAAAACAUAAGAUAACCUUUUGGGUCAUCACAUGUAUAGAGAGAAAUUCUCUACAAAUUCAGCCAUGUAUAAAGAAAGAAAAUAUUGCAACAGAUAUUUAUUUUUCUAACUCAUGAGACGAUUUUGACAAAAAUACCUUUCUUGAUAAAAGAUAGGUGUCAAGUGAAUUGUUGGAACAAUUGCUAAAAUUAUUUCUUGACUUCAUGGAUGCAGUUUUCUUGGGAAAGUCUAUAUUAGCAUAAAAGGCAUUUGCUUCUCCUAGAACGUAUGAAUUGAUAGCCAAAUAAGAACUCAGAUCGGAAGGGGAAGAAAUUUGCACCAGCACCCAAAAGAAGAAAAAUAUAAGGAUUUCAGGCAGAUGCCAGAAUACGAAACGUUUGUAACCGUAAAGUAAUUUAAUAGUAAUUUUUAAAAGUUGAGUAGUCUGAACAGG